Myiozetetes cayanensis is the source of this 377-nucleotide long non-coding RNA. RefSeq lists it as uncharacterized. The transcript is spliced from 3 exons. The record is from RefSeq and is a predicted model, not a curated record. NCBI's taxonomy places the organism in Eukaryota, Metazoa, Chordata, Aves, Passeriformes, Tyrannidae.
GCGGGACAGGAGGAGGAGGAGGAGGAUGGAGAGGGAGGGGCAGCCCCCCCAGGUGCCCCCCAGAGCCCCCCCCAAGGGCUGGGCCCCCCAGGCUGAGGUGGAAUAUCUGCACCCCCUGCACCCCGACGGCAAGAAAGCCACGGGGGUCCCGUUGCCCCCCACCUACAGCCCCCGGUACGUGGAGGCCGCCUGGUACCAGUGGUGGGAGAGGGGAGGGGUCUUCAAACCCCCCGAGCAGGUGAGAAGUGUGGGGGGGGGUAGAAUAUUCUCUUAUUUCCAGUUUUUAAUUUUUUAUUUUGAUUUUUAAUUUUAUUUAUUUAUUUAUUUGUUUAUAUUUUUUAUUCACGUUAGUUAAAUUAUAUUUAAUUUUUAUUUUU